Non-coding RNA from Stegodyphus mimosarum, 73 nucleotides. The record is from Rfam. Lineage: Eukaryota; Metazoa; Arthropoda; Arachnida; Araneae; Eresidae.
GCCUUCGUGGUAUAGAUGUCAGCACGCUCGACGCGUAUUCGAGAGGUCCAGGGUUCGAGUCCUGGAGAAGGCA